RNAcentral lists this ribosomal RNA (85 nucleotides) under Aspergillus niger. RNAcentral describes it as "partial 5.8S ribosomal RNA". It matches the Rfam family "5.8S ribosomal RNA", at positions 67 to 153 of the family's 154-position model. Rfam says of the family: 5.8S ribosomal RNA (5.8S rRNA) is a component of the large subunit of the eukaryotic ribosome. It is transcribed by RNA polymerase I as part of the 45S precursor that also contains 18S and 28S rRNA. Functionally, it is thought that 5.8S rRNA may be involved in ribosome translocation. Lineage: Eukaryota; Fungi; Ascomycota; Eurotiomycetes; Eurotiales; Aspergillaceae. The record is from RNAcentral.
GUGAUUGCAGAUUCAGUGAAUCAUCGAGUCUUUGAACGCACAUUGCGCCCCCUGGUAUUCCGGGGGGCAUGCCUGUCCGAGCGUC